Molecule: long non-coding RNA, 259 nt
Filed under: Mytilus galloprovincialis (Mediterranean mussel)
Lineage: Eukaryota; Metazoa; Mollusca; Bivalvia; Mytilida; Mytilidae
Source: RNAcentral
GGCUCCUGACUUGGGACAGGCGCAAAAUUGCGGCGGGGUUAAACAUGUUUAUGAGAUCUCAACCCUCCCCCUAUACCUCUAGCCAAUGUAGAAAAGUAAAAGAAUAACAAUACGCACAUUAAAAUUCAGUUCAAGAGAAGUCCGAGUCUGAUGUCAAAAGAUGUAACAAAAGAAAAUAAAUAAAAUGACAAUAAUACAUAAAUAACAACAGACUACUAGCAGUUAACUGACAAGCCAGCUCCAGACCUCAAUUAAACAU